This 2581-nucleotide unclassified non-coding RNA is filed under the name Hevea brasiliensis (rubber tree). Lineage: Eukaryota; Viridiplantae; Streptophyta; Magnoliopsida; Malpighiales; Euphorbiaceae. The record is from RNAcentral.
CGGAAAAAAGUCUUGAAGACAUGGUAAUCACCGCACCUGAUUAAAAUCCUAUCUAUUACAGAGAAAUUAGUCAACUAUAAUUCGCUGACCAACCAACAAACCAACCGAGGCAGCUAACGCCUGCUCUGCAGUCAGCCACUUGCCGGGCGGUCACCCUCCCUCUCCAUGGUCCUUCUCAAAUCCCUUCCUUUUCUGCUUCUCUAAUGCCAAUGAACCCUUCCUUUUAUGGGUAACAAAUCGCUCAAUAAGAGGUCUAGCAAGAGCAAGCGAUCUAUCUCCAAGCCAGACAUAAUCAUGCCUCCUUCUCAAACUUCUCGUUUCACUUUCGUGAAAGUGCCCCUGUUUGUUUUAUUAGUUAUGGCAUUCAGCGUUAUCGCUCUAUUGGGCCUUUCAUCGAUCAUGUGGAGCGCUCUAACGUCCACUUAUCACUCCCCUAAAUUAUAUACAAUUCAAGUGCUCAAUGAGUUCCCUCACGACCCCAACGCCUUCACUCAGGUUACUCUUAUUGUCUCGAUCUCUAUUUUGUUUAAUUUAUGGGUAAUUUGGUGUCCUUGAAAUUCAAACUCAUUACCAUGUGGAAUUCUGUAGAUCGGUCAUUUGCUGGUUUCAUUUUCUGAUAGUAAUCAUUGCUCCUUUGAGCUUGAUUUACUUUGAUUGAGAUCUCUAACUAGCGAAUUGACCAAAGCCAUCGCAAAUUGUUACGCAAACUCAAUUACUUGCUUGUGCACGAAUUGCCUAUAUUUUAUUGUUUGGCAAUUAACAUCAAUUCAAAUUUACUUUCAGGGUCUGCUUUAUGCAGGAAAUGAUACAAUAUUUGAGUCAACGGGCCUUUAUGGCCAGGUGGGUUUGCUUUCUCUUUGAAUACAUAGCAUUCUUAGGCUUUCUGAAGCAGGAUAAGUAUUUUGCAUGUUGUCUUUGUUUUUCUUGCAAUCACAUUUAGUUUUAUGUAUUCAUCACUUAACCUUUUACUUGUGUUAUUUUAGUCAUCAGUUCGGAGGGUUGCUCUUCAAUCUGGGAAGGUACUUGUCUCUAUUAUUCAAAUUCUCUUGAAGAAUUCUAAUGUGUUUUCUAUUUCUCAAUUCAUUGUUUUGAUCCAUUCACGUUUGAGAAAUAUUUUUUCAUUGUGAAACCUUUGGAAAUAUAUGCUUUAAGUGUGAUGUAUUAGUUUGAAAUAAGCUAUUUGGAGUGCAGCCUUUAAAAAUUGAUGGAUUGUUUUUGAGAGUAUGCUACUGGUGUAAUAGAUGGUUGGUGAUCUGAAUGAUUAAUCAGUUUACCAAUUGUUAAGUAACUUUUAACAGUUUAACAAGCUUGAUAUUCAAUUCAACCUUAUGUUGUAUUUCACCUGAACAGGUUGAGGUUCUUCAGGAGAUGAAUGGUUCUUAUUUUGGGGAAGGUUUAACUCUUCUUGGUGAAAGGCUGUUCCAAGUAACUUGGUUGACAAAAACUGGUUUCAUAUAUGACCGAAACGAUUUAAGCAAAAUUGAGAAAUUUACUCAUCAGAUGCAUGAUGGAUGGGGACUGGCAACUGAUGGAAAAAUUUUGUUUGGCAGUGAUGGAACUUCAACAUUAUAUCAGAUUGACCCUCAAACAUUGAAAGGUUUCUCUUGUAUACAAAAGUUCUCUCAAUUCCGUCUAAAACCAAGCUCCCCUUAUCUUUGAUAUUCUUGUUCUUCUUUAAGUAUUAUUUUUUGCAUUUUUUGGUGGUUUCUUCCCUAUGUUAUUGAUUUUUUUUUUCUUGAACUGCAGUGAAUAUAAGCUUCAAUUUCUGUCCCUAUAUGACUAUAACAUUAUAUUUCUUUACCCAUCUUUGGAUCUGUCUAUAGUUUGGUGCUAGUUCCUACUUAAUCUUGAUGUAUAUGUCUGUUGUUUGUGUGGACAAUAAACUAAUGCUGCUUCCUUUGUCCUGUUUUGAUGCAGUAAUUACGAAACAUACUGUCAAAUAUGAAAAUCAUGAAGUACGCUACCUCAAUGAACUAGAAUUUGUAAAUGGCGAAGUUUGGGCGAAUGUUUGGCAGACUGAUUGCAUUGCAAGGAUCUCACACAAGGAUGGCACUGUGGUUGGAUGGAUUCUUCUUGAUAAUUUAAGGAAGGGAUUGGUAGCAGCUGGGCAAAAAGGCAUUGAUGUUUUAAAUGGUAUUGCAUGGGAUAGCAAUGACAACCGUCUUUUUGUUACUGGAAAAUUGUGGCCAAAGCUUUAUGAAAUCAAAUUGCAACUGAUAAAGAAACCUUUUGAUAAUGGAGUGAUUAAACGGUUUUGCUUACCGUAAUAAGCCAUGCCCAGGAACUUUUUGACAUGCCUGAGCCUGACAUGAAUUCUGAGCUAAGUGUUAAAAAGGACUCAGAGUCACGGGGGAUUUUUGACAUCCUUUUGCGUGGAUGAUAAGCUUGCACUUGCGAGGUUAGGCUGCUACACAGGAGAGAUAAUUGGAUUGAAGAAUGACAAUCACUUGAUUCUUUGGGGGCUUAGUUCUUGUAAGAUUAUUAAAAUGUACGAUUGACUUAUUUCAAAAAAAAGAAAAAAGUGCAAUUGACUUGCGUUGAGAACUUAGUUCUUACUUGUAAUAUUAUUAAAAUGUGCUCU